Molecule: ribosomal RNA, 1441 nt
Filed under: Priestia flexa
Lineage: Bacteria; Bacillati; Bacillota; Bacilli; Caryophanales; Bacillaceae
Description: Bacillus flexus partial 16S ribosomal RNA
Rfam family: Bacterial small subunit ribosomal RNA
Source: RNAcentral
CGGGCGGGUCGCUGCUAUACUGCAGUCGAGCGAACUGAUUAGGAAGCUAUGCCUUCUACGCACGUUCAGCGGCGGACACGGUGAAGUAACAUGUGGGCAACCUGCCUGUAAGAGUCGGAUAACUCCGGAAAACCGGAUCUAAUACCGGAUAACAUAUUCUCUUGCAAAGGAAAAAAUUGAAAGAUGGUUUCGGCUAUCACUUACAGAUGGGCCCGCGGUGCAUUAGCUAGUUGGUGAGGUAACGGCUCACCAGGGCAACGAUGCAUACCCGACCUGAGAGGGUGAUCGGCCACACUGGGACUGACGACACGGCCCACACUCCUACGGGAGGCAGCAAUAGGGAAUCCUCCGCAAUGGACGAAAGUCUGACGGAACAACGCCGCGUGAGUGAUGAAGGCUUUCGGGUCGUAAAACUCUGUUGUUAGGAAAAAACAAGUACAAGAGUAACUGCUUGCACCUUGACGGUACCUAACCAGAAAGCCACGGCUAACUACGUGCCCAGCAGCCGCGGUAAUACAUAGGUGGCAAGCGUUAUCCAAGAAUUAUUGGGCGUAAAGCGCGCGCACGCGGUUUCUUAACUCUGAUGUGAAACCCCACGGCUCAACCGUGGAGGGGUCAUUGGAAACUGGGGGAACUUGAGUGCAAAAAAAAAAAGAAAGAAUUCCACCGUGUAGCGGUGAAAUGCACAGAGAUGUGGAGGAACACCAGCUGCGCGAAGGCGAAGUCUUUUUGGUUCUCUAACUGACGCCCUGAGGCCCGAAAGUCGUGGGAACCAAACAGAGAUGAGACACCCGGGUAGUUCUCAUCACACGUAAAAAAAAGAGCGCUAAGUGCGCUAGAGGGUUUCCGCCAUACUUUCAGUGAGAGCAGCUAACCGCAUUAAGCACUACCGCCUGGGGAGCUAGCAGGGUAGCAAGACGUGAAACUUUCAAAGGAAUAUGUACGGGCGCCCGCACAACCAGGUGGAGUCAUGUACGUUAUAAUCCGAAGCAACGCGACAGAGUACUCUGACCAGGACGCGUUGACAUCACCUCACAAGCGUGCUAGAGAUAGAGCGUUCCCAUGCGGAGGAUCACAGUGACAGGUGCUGCAUCGUAGAUCGUCAGAUCGUGUCGUGAGCCAUAGUUGGCGUUAAGUCACCGCAACGAGCGCAACCGCUAUGCAUCGUUAGCUUGCCGAGCAGUUACUAGCGCACUACUAAGGUGACACGCCGGUGACAAACCGGAGAGAUAGGCGGGGAUGACGUCAAAUCAUCAUGCCCCUUCCAUGACCUAGGCUACACGACGUGCUACAAUGGAUCGAGUAUGCAAAGGGCUGCAAGACCGCGAGGUCAAGACCAAUGCUCCAUAAAACCAUUCUCAGUUCGGAUUGUAGGCUGCAACUCGCCUACAUGAAGCUGGAAUCGCUAGUAAUCGCGGAUCAGCAUGCCGCAGACACAGAC